ACGAAAUAAACGUCUCAGUUCGGAUUGCAGGCUGCAACCCGCCCUGCAUGAAGCCGGAAUCGCUAGUAAUCGCGGAUCAGAAUGCCGCGGUGAAUACGUUCCCGGGUCUUGUACACACCGCCCGUCACACCAUGGGAGUCGAUAACGCCCGAAGUCAGUGACCCAACCGAGAGGAGGGAGCUGCCGAAGGCGGGAUUGAUAACUGGGGUGAAGUCGUAACAAGGUAGC
Molecule: ribosomal RNA, 228 nt
Filed under: uncultured bacterium
Lineage: Bacteria
Description: partial 16S ribosomal RNA
Rfam family: Bacterial small subunit ribosomal RNA
Source: RNAcentral